Pipra filicauda (Wire-tailed manakin) is the source of this 466-nucleotide long non-coding RNA. RefSeq lists it as uncharacterized. The record is from RefSeq and is a predicted model, not a curated record. Lineage: Eukaryota; Metazoa; Chordata; Aves; Passeriformes; Pipridae. The transcript is spliced from 2 exons.
UUCAGCCACAGGACUCUUCUCAUCAGGUUUCACUUAUGCCAGUGAUGUCAAAUCUAAGAGACUGGGCCAAAGCUUCAAGCUUCUCCUUUGUUCCUCAUGCUGCCUGCGUUGGUGCAGAAACAUUUCAGGUGUGGGUACAUUGUAGCCAACACCAUCUGCAGCAGAUUGAGGGAUCAUAUUAGUGCUCGUUUCCUCAAGUUUUGGCACAUCAACCCAUCGCUCAUCAUAGUUUGCAGUGCCUUUCAAGAGAGACUGAGCCUCACAGUUCCUCGUCAACGUGUGCUGCAAGGAGUCAGAAUUCCUUUCAUCAAAUUUACAGGAAAAUGAGAAAAAGUGGAAGUAGAAGGAAGUAAAAAAGACAGAGACAACUCUAAAGAAGUAAUUUCAUUGUACACAGUGUGUCUUACGGUUGCUGAUUAAAAAAAAGACAAUUUGAUUCAUUAAAAGGAGAUUGCCAUUUUGUAAA